RNAcentral lists this ribosomal RNA (253 nucleotides) under uncultured bacterium. RNAcentral's name for it is "partial 16S ribosomal RNA". It matches the Rfam family "Bacterial small subunit ribosomal RNA", at positions 524 to 776 of the family's 1533-position model. The record is from RNAcentral.
UACGUAGGGGGCUAGCGUUGUCCUGAAUCAUUGGGCGUAAAGCGCGUGUAGGCGGUCCGGUAAGUCCGCUGUGAAAGUCGGGGGCUCAACCCUCGGAUGCCGGUGGAUACUGUCGGGCUUGAGUACGGAAGAGGCGAGUGGAAUUCCUGGUGUAGCGGUGAAAUGCGCAGAUAUCAGGAAGAACACCUAUGGCGAAAGCAGCUCUCUGGGACGGUACUGACGCUGAGACGCGAAAGCGUGGGGAGCGAACAGG